AAUAUUGCACAAUGGGGGAAGCCCUGAUGCAGCCAUGCCGCGUGUGUGAAGAAGGCCUUCGGGUUGUAAAGCACUUUCAGUAGGGAGGAAGGUAGUGUAGUUAACACCUGCACUAUUUGACGUUACCUACAGAAGAAGCACCGGCUAACUCCGUGCCAGCAGCCGCGGUAAUACGGAGGGUGCGAGCGUUAAUCGGAAUUACUGGGACGUAAAGCGCAUGCAGGCGGCCUGUUAAGUCAGAUGUGAAAGCCCCGGGGCUUAACCUCGGAAUUGCAUUUGAAACUGGCAGGCUAGAGUCUUGUAGAGGGGGUAGAAUUUCAGGUGUAGCGGUGAAAUGCGUAGAGAUCUGAAGGAAUACCAGUGGCGAAGGCGGCCCCCUGGACAAAGACUGACGCUCAGAUGCGAAAGCGUGGGGAGCAAACAGGAUUAGAUACCCUGGUAG
Molecule: ribosomal RNA, 442 nt
Filed under: uncultured bacterium
Lineage: Bacteria
Description: bacterial SSU rRNA
Rfam family: Bacterial small subunit ribosomal RNA
Source: RNAcentral